GACGAACGCUGGCGGCGUGCUUAACACAUGCAAGUCGAACGGAAAGGCCCUUCGGGGUACUCGAGUGGCGAACGGGUGAGUAACACGUGGGUGAUCUGCCCUGCACUUUGGGAUAAGCCUGGGAAACUGGGUCUAAUACCGGAUAGGACUACGGCCUGCAUGGGUUGUGGUGGAAAGCUUUUGCGGUGUGGGAUGGGCCCGCGGCCUAUCAGCUUGUUGGUGGGGUGAUGGCCUACCAAGGCGACGACGGGUAGCCGGCCUGAGAGGGUGACCGGCCACACUGGGACUGAGAUACGGCCCAGACUCCUACGGGAGGCAGCAGUGGGGGAAUAUUGCACAAUGGGCGCAAGCCUGAUGCAGCGACGCCGCGUGGGGGAUGACGGCC
This 385-nucleotide ribosomal RNA is filed under the name uncultured bacterium. RNAcentral's name for it is "bacterial SSU rRNA". It matches the Rfam family "Bacterial small subunit ribosomal RNA", at positions 28 to 416 of the family's 1533-position model. The record is from RNAcentral.